GACACAAUUGGAGAAACUGAUUAUUUUACCAAGGCCUUGACUGGAAUGGUAUGCUUCCCUUUAAGGAAUCAAACUUGACUUGUAGAGCCAAUAGAAGCCCCUUGGGAAAACUGACCUCAUACCUUGUCGACACAAUCCCUGUGCAGGGUUCCCGAUCUGCCAUGUGAAGUGCUGGCUUCCCUUUGCCUUCCACCAUGAUUGUAAGUUUCCUGAGACAUCCCCAGAUGCCAAGCAGAUGCCACCAUCACAUUUCCUGUACAGCCUGUGGAACUGUGAGUCAAUUAAACCUUUUUUCUUUAUAAAUUA
This is a long non-coding RNA of Homo sapiens (human), 306 nucleotides long. RefSeq lists it as uncharacterized. Lineage: Eukaryota; Metazoa; Chordata; Mammalia; Primates; Hominidae. The transcript has 2 exons. The record is from RefSeq and is a predicted model, not a curated record.